This 496-nucleotide ribosomal RNA is filed under the name uncultured bacterium. Its description in RNAcentral is "partial 16S ribosomal RNA". It matches the Rfam family "Bacterial small subunit ribosomal RNA", at positions 30 to 523 of the family's 1533-position model. The record is from RNAcentral.
AUUGAACGCUGGCGGAAUGCUUUACACAUGCAAGUCGAACGGUAGAGGGGGCAACCCCUCGAGAGUGGCGAACGGGUGAGUAAUAUAUCGGAACGUGCCCAGUCGUGGGGGAUAACGUAGCGAAAGUUACGCUAAUACCGCAUACGAUCUAAGGAUGAAAGCGGGGGAUCGCAAGACCUCGCGCGAUUGGAGCGGCCGAUAUCAGAUUAGGUAGUUGGUGGGGUAAAGGCUCACCAAGCCAACGAUCUGUAGCUGGUCUGAGAGGACGACCAGCCACACUGGAACUGAGACACGGUCCAGACUCCUACGGGAGGCAGCAGUGGGGAAUUUUGGACACUGGACGCAAGUCUGAUCCAGCCAUUCCGCGUGCAGGAUGAAGGCCCUCGGGUUGUAAACUGCUUUUGUACGGAACGAAAAGGUCUCUCUUAAUACGGGGGGCUCAUGACGGUACCGUAAGAAUAAGCACCCGCUAACUACGUGCCAGCCGCCGCAGUAA